RNAcentral lists this ribosomal RNA (254 nucleotides) under uncultured bacterium. Its description in RNAcentral is "partial 16S ribosomal RNA". It matches the Rfam family "Bacterial small subunit ribosomal RNA", at positions 524 to 776 of the family's 1533-position model. The record is from RNAcentral.
UACGUAGGGGGCAAGCGUUGUCCGGAUUCAUUGGGCGUAAAGAGCGUGUAGGCGGCCAGGUAGGUCGGUUGUGAAAACUGGAGGCUCAACCUUCAGAGGUCGACCGAAACCAUCUGGCUAGAGUCCGGGAAGAGGAGAGUGGAAUUCCUGGUGUAGCGGUGAAAUGCGCAGAUAUCAGGAGGAACACCAAUAGCGAAGGCAGCUCGCUGGGACGUUACUGACACUGAGGCGCGAAAGCGUGGGGAGCGAACAGG